RNA transcript from Astyanax mexicanus (Mexican tetra), 2497 nucleotides. It is a transcript of the gene named rho GTPase-activating protein gacO, with no coding region annotated. The record is from RefSeq and is a predicted model, not a curated record. The transcript has 3 exons. NCBI's taxonomy places the organism in Eukaryota, Metazoa, Chordata, Actinopteri, Characiformes, Acestrorhamphidae.
CAAUAUUUGGUGGAAUAACUCUGGUUGGUUUUUAAUCACAGUUUUUUUUUUCAUGCAUCUUGGCAUCAUGUUCUCCUCCACCAGUCUUACACACUGCUUUUGGAUAACUUUAUGCUGCUUUACUCCUGGUGCAAAAAGUCAAGCAGUUCAGUUUGGUGGUUUGAUGGUUUGUGAUCAUCCAUCUUCCUCUUGAUUAUAUUCCAGAGGUUUUUAAUUUGAUAAAAUUAAAGAAAAACUUAUAUAUUUUUUCUUUAUCUGUAUAAAGGUAAUUUUAUGAGCUUUGCAGUGUAUGUAGUACUGAAGUGUGUGUUAGCGUUAGCUGUGACUCUGGAUAAGCUGCAGUAUUUUAAUCAGCUGGUUUGUAGUUUUGCAUUAGACACAGGUCAGUGUGUUGUUUGUGUUUCCUCGUGCGCCGACACAAGACCGCAGUGACGCUAAACCCCGCCUCCAAACAUACACACCUGCUGCCCUCAGGUAAAGGUGAGCUGUAGAGAGAGAGAGAGAUACAGAGCUGGAGAUCAGAACUGAGAGGAAGAGGGGGAUCAGCUGAUAAAGAGAUCAGAGAGAAGAUGGCUGAAGAGCAGAAAGAGAAGAGUGCAGCUGAUAGAAGAGAAGCUGAUGAGAGAGACACGAGGAGAGAGAGAUGGAGCGGUGGAGUAAACAGGAGGCGUAGUUUAAUUACAGAAAAAGUAAACUUUCUAUAUCCACCAGGAUUUCUGGGAUGUUCCACCAGGUGUUUCUCCAGGUGAUCCUGCAGGUGUUCCUACAGGUGGAAGCAGCUCAGAUGAAGGAAUCUUGAACUGAAUUCUCCUGAUCAGCUGUUUAUUUCACAUCACAGAAACACACCGAGCUCCUGAUCCUCUCUCUGUAAAUCUCUCUCUCUCUCUUACACUGGAAAAAACACUCUGUUAUUAAUGUAUAUAGAGUUCAGUCUGUUUAUAUAAUACAGCUCUGGAAAAAAAUAAGAGAUCACUUCAGUUUCUGAAUCAGUUUAUCUGAUUUUAUUGUAAUUUAUUGUUAUUUAGAGCAUUUAUUUGCAGGAAAUGAGAAAUGACUGAAAUAACUAAAAAGAUGCAGAGCUUUCAGACCUCAAAUAAUGCAAAGAAAACAAGUUCAUAUUCAUAAAGUUUUAAGAGUUCAGAAAUCAAUAUUUGGUGGAAUAAUCCUGGUGGUUUUUAAUCACAGUUUGUUUUAUGCAUUUUGGCAUCAUGUUCUCCUCCUCCACCAGUCUUACACACUGCUUUUGGAUAACUUUAUGCUGCUUUACUCCUGGUGCAAAAAUUCAAGCAGUUCAGUUUGGUGGUUUGAUGGCUUGUGAUCAUCCAUCUUCCUCUUGAUUAUAUUCCAGAGGGUUUUAAUCUGGUAAUUUUUUUUGGUAAUUUUUAAGUGGCCUCUUUUUCAGAGCUGUUUAUCAAUAUGACUGUAGGUUACAGAUCAGUUAUAAUGUACACUGGUUGUACAGUGUGUAAAUAGAGUUUUACUGUUAUUUUACUGUCAGAUUCUGUAAAUAUUCACAGCACUACAGUACUUUUUAUCUUUUAUCACAAAUUGUAAUGUAAUCUGAUGUAAUCAGUUUUACAAUAUAUAUUUAAUAUAAUAGAUUUAAUAUAACUAAGAUCUUUUUUUCAUCAAUAUAAGAUUCUUUAUUAAAUGAUUAUAUUAUAUUAUUUUAUUUUAUAAUAAAAUAUUUAUUAUUAUAAUCUGAUGCUGUACUGCCCUCUACAGGCUGACAGAGAAAUCAGAUUAAUUUAUAAGAUGUGAUACAAAAAAUAAGGAAGCUUUUAUAAUUUCUGAACACACACUUUACUACUACUGAAACCUGAAGACUAAAUUAAGAAAUUCAUUUAAAACAUUAUGGCUCAGUUGCGCAGAAUAAGGGAUUAUAGUUUAUGAUUAGUUUUAAUCUCUGUCAGGAAAACUGCCACAAAAUGUCCAAAUCACUGGUUGUUCUGGGGGCGGGGCCUCUUAAGGACGAUGGCUUCAGCUGAAAUCUGAUUGGCCCCCUGAAGUGCCCCUGUCCUGUCACUUCUUUUUUAUUAUACACACAAAACAUGCAUGGGAAAUUGGUCAAGAGAUUUAAAGAGUUAAUCUUGUGCCAAAAAAAGCAGUGCAUGAAAAUCCACCAAAAAAAUACAAAAACACAAAAAUCAAAGCAUAAAAUAACAAAAUCUAACCUCAAAUUAUUUUCAACUGCACAGAAUAGUUUAAAGCAUGUUAAAAAUAUAUAUUUUGAAUUAGCAAAAUAUUUUUUUUUCUUUUGAUUCUUAAAAUUUUGAUUGCAGAUUGCACCUUUGGCACAAAUUUAACUCCAUAGAUUUUACUGUGUAAGCUUGUUGUUGCUCAUUAAUCAUAAAAAUCCCACAGCCGCCAUUGAUCUAAAUGUAUAUGGACACCCCGUACUUUAUUAAAGUGGUCAGUUUUCAGUACAUGUUCAGAUCCUGUCUAGACUUUAAAUUGAUUAUUAUGAUCCUGAAAUAAAAAAAAAAAUGUUUCAGUA